This 420-nucleotide ribosomal RNA is filed under the name uncultured bacterium. RNAcentral's name for it is "bacterial SSU rRNA". It matches the Rfam family "Bacterial small subunit ribosomal RNA", at positions 355 to 792 of the family's 1533-position model. The record is from RNAcentral.
UGGGGAAUAUUGGACAAUGGGCGCAAGCCUGAUCCAGCCAUGCCGCGUGAGUGAUGAAGGCCCUAGGGUUGUAAAGCUCUUUUGUGCGGGAAGAUAAUGACGGUACCGCAAGAAUAAGCCCCGGCUAACUUCGUGCCAGCAGCCGCGGUAAUACGAAGGGGGCUAGCGUUGCUCGGAAUCACUGGGCGUAAAGGGUGCGUAGGCGGGUCUUUAAGUCAGGGGUGAAAUCCUGGAGCUCAACUCCAGAACUGCCUUUGAUACUGAAGAUCUUGAGUUCGGGAGAGGUGAGUGGAACUGCGAGUGUAGAGGUGAAAUUCGUAGAUAUUCGCAAGAACACCAGUGGCGAAGGCGGCUCACUGGCCCGAUACUGACGCUGAGGCACGAAAGCGUGGGGAGCAAACAGGAUUAGAUACCCUGGUA